Molecule: long non-coding RNA, 5416 nt
Filed under: Homo sapiens (human)
Lineage: Eukaryota; Metazoa; Chordata; Mammalia; Primates; Hominidae
Description: HSALNT0053620
Source: RNAcentral
CUAUCAGCCAGGAAAUUGAAAACAUCUGACUUGUGAGGUGACUAUAGCAGAUCCCCAAAAAAAUGACCACUUAUUGAGCACAUGCCAUGCGCCAGGAACUCUCAAAAUCCUACAACAUAUGUGCUAAUAUGAUAAUGUUACAAUGGUAGAAAUUCAGAUUACUGGCAGGCAAGAUUUAAAUUUUCCAAUAGCCCAUGUACUUCUCACUUCACAAACAAGGAUGAGGGAAGAAUCCACAGUCUCGGGAUAAAGAUGUGAGUAUAGGAGGGUGCUAAGCAUGGGGAAGAAAUCUGGGAUUUUGCUGCGAUUUUUGCUGUCUCAUUCAACAACUUCCCGUAACUUCACACAGCCCUUCCAUAUGACUAAAUACAGCCACUUCCCGUGACCUCAAGCAGCCCUUCCUGUGACUUCAUACGGCCACUUCCAGUGACUUCACACAGCCCUUCCUGUGACAUCACACUGAAUCUUCCUGUGACUUAACACUACUUCUUCCCGUGACUUCCCACCUUCCUGUGGCUUCACCCUGGCCCUUCCUGUGGCUUCGCACUGGCCCUUCCUGUGGCUUCACACAGUCCCUUCUUGUGACUUCCCACAGCCUCUUCCUGUGACUUCACACUAUCCCUCCCUGAGACUUCUCCUUGCCCUUCCCUGUGGCUUCAGACGGCCCCCUGUGGCUUCACGCUGCCCCUUCCUGUGGCUUCACACAGCCCCUUCUUGUGACUUCACACAGCCUCAUCCUGUGACUUCACACUGCCUUUUUCUGUGACUUCACACUGCCCCUCCCUGUGACUUCCCAUUGCCCCUUCCUGUGGCUUCACACUGCCCCUUCCUGUGAUUUCCCACUACCCCUUCCUCCCUUCCUGUGACUUCCUACUGCCCCUUCCUGUGGCUUCACAGGGCCCCUUCCUGUAGCUUGACACAGCCCCUGUGACCCCACACUAGCCCUUACUGUGAACUCACACAGCCCUUUCUUGUGACUUCACACAGCCCCUUCCUAUGACUUCACACUGCCCCUUCCCAUGACUUCCCACUGCCCCUUCCUAUGACUUCACACUGCCCCUUCCCGUGACUUCCCACUGCCCCUUCCUAUGACUUCACACUGCCCCUUCCUGUGACUUCACACUGCCUCUACCUGUGACUUCACAUUGCCCCUUCCUGUGACCUCACACUGCCAAUUCAUGUGAUUUCACACUAUCCCUCCCUGUGACUUCACACUACCCUUCCUGUGACCUAACACUGCCCCUUCCUGUGACUUCACACUGCCUCUGUGACUUCACACUGCCUCUAUCUGUGAUUUCACACUGCCCCUUCCUGAGACCUCACAAUGCCACUUCAUGUGACUUCACAAUGCCCCUUCCUGUGGCUUCACACAACACUUCCUGUGACUUUACAUGGUCCUGUCCUGUGACCUAACAGCCCCUUCCAGUGGCUUCACACAGACCCUUCCUGUGAAAUCACACAGCCCCUUUCUGGGACUUCACACAGCCCCUUCCUGGGACUUCACACAGCCCCUUCAUGGGAUUUUACACUGCACCUUCCUGUGACUUCCCACUGCCCAUUCCUGUGGCUUCACAUAGCCCCUUCCUAUGACUGCCUAUGGCCCCUUCCUGUGACAUUCCACUGCCCCUUCCUGUAACUUCCCACCGUCCCUUCCUGUGGCUUCACACAGACUCUUCCUGUGACUUCACAUAGCCACUUCCUGUGACUUCCCACUGCCGCUUCCUAUGACUUCACUCAGCCACUUGCUGUGGCUUCCCACUUCCCCUUCCUGUGACUUCCCAUGGCCCAUUCCAGUGGCUUCAAACAGCCCCUUCCUGGGACCUCACACAGCCCCUUCCUGUGAACUCUCACAGCCCCUUCCAGUGGCUUCACACAGCCCUUCCCUGUGACCUCACACAGCCCCUUCCUGACGCUUCACAAAGCCCCUUCCUGGGGCUUCACAUUGCCCCUUCCUGUGACUUUACACUGCCCUUCCUGUCAUGUCACACUGCUCCUUCCUGUGGCUUCACACAGCCUCUACCUGUGUCUUCACAGGGACACUUCUGGCAUGUUCACACUGCCUCUGCCUGUGGCUUCACACAGCCUGUUUCCCUGUCAUCACAGCCCCUACCUAUGGCUUCACACAGCCUGUUUCCCUGUCAUCACAGCCCCUUCCUGUGUCCUCACACUUCCCCUUCUUGUGGCUUCACACAGCCUCUACCUGAGACUUCACACUGCCCCUUCCUAUGACUUCACACUGCCUCUUCCUGUAACGUCACACAGCCACUUCCUGUGACUUCCUAUGCCCCUUCCCGGGGCUUCACACAGCCCCUUCCUGUGACCUCACAUUGCCACUUCUGCCCUCACACAGCCCCUUUCUGUGACUUCACAGAGCCCCUCCCUGUGACUUCACACUGGCCCUCCAUGUGACUUCCCAAACCCCAUCCUGUGGCUUCACACAGACCCUUCCUGUGGCUUCACACAGACCCUUCCUGUGGCUUUACACUGCCCCUUCCUUUGGAAUUCGCACUGCUCCUUCCUGUGACUUCCCACUGCCCCUUCCUGUGAUGUCAUACUGCCCCUCCCUGUUAUUUCACACCACCCUGCCCCUUUCUGUGACUUCCCACAGCCCCUUCCUGUGACUUCACACUGCCCCUACCUGUGAUGUCACAGAGCCCCUUCCUGUGGCUUCACACUGCCCCUCCUAGUGGCUUCACACAGCCACUUCCUGUGACUUCACCCAGCCCCUUUCUGUGACUUCUCACUGUCCCUUCCUGUGGCUUCACACAGUCCCUUCCUGUGACCUCAAAUUCCCACUUCCUGUGACCACACAAGCCCCUUCCAGUAGCUUCACACUGCCCAUUCCCAGGGCGUAAAACAGCCUCUUCCUGUGAUUUCACAGUGCCUCUUCCUUUGGCUUCACACAGCCCCUUCCUAUGACUUCCCAUUGGCCUUUCCUGUAGCUUCACACCACCGCUUCCAGUGACUUCACAUUGCCCAUUCCUGUGAUAUCAAAGUGCCCUUUCCUGUGGCUUCACACAGAACCCUGCCUGUGACUUCAUACCACGCCUUCCUAUGACUUCAUACUGUCUCUUCCUGUGACUUCACAUGGCCACUUCUUGUGACUUCCCAUAGCCACUCAUUCUGACUUCCCACUGUCCCAUACUGCGACUUCACAAAGCCACUUCCUGUGACUCCCUGCAGCCCCUUCCUGCAACUUCCCACAGCCACUUCCUGUGACUUCCCAAUGCCCCUUCCUGUGGCUGCACAAUGCCCCUCCUUUUGGCUUCACACUACCCUCCCUGUGGCUUCACACUGCCUCUUCCUGUGACGUCACACUGCCCCUUCUGUGGCUUCAGACUGCCCCUUCUUGUGGCUUCACACUGGCCUUUCCUGUGACUUCACACAGCUUCUUCCUCUGACUUCACACCAUCCCUUCCUUUGACAUCCCACUGCCUCUUCCUGUGACUUCAGACAGCCCCUUCCCAUGACUUCACACUCCUUCUUCCCGUGACUUCUCACUGACCCUGCCUGUGGCUUCACACAGCACCUUCCUGUGACUACCCCCUGUCCCUACCUGUGACUUCACACAGCCCCUUCCUGUGACUUCACACUGUGCCUUCCUGUGGUUUAACACUCCCCCUUCCUGUGGCUUCACACAGCCCCUUCCUGUGACUUCCUACUGCCCCUUCCUGUGGCUUCACACAGUCCCUUCCUGUGGCAUCACACCACCUCUUCCUGUGACUUCACACUACCCCUUCCUGCCGCUUUUCAAAGCCCCAUUCUGUGGCUUCACACAGCCCCUUCCUGUGGCUUCACAUUACCCUUCCUGUGACUUCACACUGCCUCUUCCUGUGACUUCCAACAGCCACUUCUUGUGACUUCCCACUGCCCCUUCCUGUGGUUUCACAAAGCCCCUGCCUGUGAACUCACACUGCCACUUCCUCUGACCUCACCUAGCCCCUUUGUGUGAGUUCAUACAGCCACUUCCUGUGACUUCACGUAGCCCCAUCCAGUGGCUUUACCCAGUUCCUUCCUGUGAUAUCACACUACCCUGUCCUGUGACUUCCCACAGCCCCUUCCUGUGACUUCACACAGCACCUUCCUGUAACUUCCCACUGCACAUUCUGGUGGCCUCACACUGCCCCUUUCUGUGACUUCCCACUGUCCCUUCCUGUUGCUUCACACUGCCACUUCUUUGGCUUCACAAUACCCCUCCCUGUGGCUUCACAAUGCCUGUUCCUGUGACUACCCACUGCCUCUUCCUGUGGCUUCACACAGCCCCUUCCUGUGACUUGACACAGCCCCUUGCUGUUACUUCCCACUGCACCUUCUUGUAACUUCCUACUGCCCAUUCCUGUGGCCUCACACUGCCCCUUCCUGUGACUUCACAGCACCCCUUGCUGUGGUUUCACACGGCCCCUUCCUUUGACUUCACACUGCCUCUGUGACUUCUCACUGCCCCUUCCUGUGGAUUCACAGAGCCUCUACCUGCGAUUUCACACUGCCCAUUCCUGUGGCUUCACAUUGCCUCUUCCUGUGACUUCCCACAGCCACUCCCUGUGACUUCUCACUGCCCCUUCCAGUGACUUCACACAGCCCCUUCCUGUGACCUCAUACUGCCCCUUCCUGUGACUUCACACUGCCCCUUUCAGUGGCUUCACACACUCCUUCUUGUGACUUUCCACUGCCCCUUCCUGUGACUUCCCUCUGCCCCUCCCUGUGACUUCCCACAGCUCAUUCCCGUGAUUUCCCAUGCCCCUUCCUGUGGCUUCACAAAGCCCCUUCUGUAACUUCACACUGCCUCUUCCUGUGAUUCACACAGCCCCUUCCUGUGGCUUCACACUGCUUCUUCCUGUGGCCUCACACAACCCCCCUUUCUCUGACUUCACACAGCCCCUUCCUAACGUCACACUGCCUCUUCCUGUGGCUUCAUACUGACCCUGUGGCUUCACACAGCCUCCUCCUGUGACUUCACACAGCCCCUUCCCUUGGCUUCACACAGUUCCUUCCUGUGAUGUCACGUAGCCCCUUUCUCUGGCUCCACACAGCCCCUUCCUGUGACUUCACAUAAUUUCUUCUUAUGACAUCUUCCAGCCCCUUCCUAUUGUUUCACACUGCUCCUUCCUGUGACUUCACUCUGCUUCUUCCUGUGACUUCACAUUGUCCCUUUCUGUGACUUCACACAGCCAUUUCCCAUGGCUUCACACAGCCUUGACUUGCUGCAAUUCAGUGUGUGCUAAAUCCUAGAAGCCAGCCCUGCCUUGUAAAUGACAGCCCACACAGUGGGUUCUUACAUACAGAAAAAGGUUCCUAUUUGCAAUAAAAAUCUCUUGUGAUCUCCUAACCAUUUUUUUUUUUUUUUUUUUUGAGAUGGAGUCUCACUCUGUCGCCAGGCUGGAGUGCAGUGGUGCGACCUCGGCUCACUGCAACCUCU